GCGCUCACGUCAGCCGCACAGAUACUAAAAUUGGAAUGGCACAGAGAAGAUUAUCGCAGCCCCUUUGUAAGGAUAGCAUGCAGAUUUGCAUAGUAUUCUGUAUUUUG
Molecule: small nuclear RNA, 107 nt
Organism: Microtus ochrogaster (prairie vole)
Lineage: Eukaryota; Metazoa; Chordata; Mammalia; Rodentia; Cricetidae
Source: Ensembl